Molecule: ribosomal RNA, 1404 nt
Filed under: Triticum aestivum (bread wheat)
Lineage: Eukaryota; Viridiplantae; Streptophyta; Magnoliopsida; Poales; Poaceae
Description: partial small subunit ribosomal RNA
Source: RNAcentral
AUGCACUUCAGCUCGGGCCGGCCCGGCGGCUCGGUCGGCGCAAGCUGCAUACCGCGGGAGCGGGACGCCCUGCUGUCCUUCAAGCGCGGCAUCACCAGCGACCCCAUGGGUGUUCUUGACUCUUGGCACAAGAAAGACUGCUGUCAGUGGAGGGGCGUCAAGUGCAGCAACCGGACCAGCCAUGUCCUUAGGCUUCAUCUUCGUAAUCUGUCUCCAGAGACAGGUUUGGUUGGCGAGAUAAGUAAUUCUUUGCUGUCCAUGGAUCGUCUAGUGCACCUUGAUCUUAGCAUGAAUUAUCUCGAGGGCCCAAGUGGCCGCAUGCCAGAGUUCUUGGGCUCUUUGACGAGAUUGAGAUAUCUCAACCUCUCCGGCAUACCAUUUUCUGGCAGAGUACUCCCUCAGCUCGGCAACCUCUCAAACCUUCAGCAUCUUGACCUCUCAGGCCAAUCAUACCCAUAUAUGUACUCAAAAGAUAUUUCAUGGGUAGCACGCAUCCCUAAUUUGCAGUAUCUUGGAAUGAAUUCAGUAAACCUCGGCACGAUAGUUGAUUGCCCUUAUGUUGUCAACAUGAUUCCUUCUUUGAAGGCCCUCAAUCUUCGGUCUUGCUCUCUUCCAACUGCAAAUCAGUCGCUCCCACAUAUUAACCUUACCAAACUCGAGAGGCUUGAUCUCUCCGGUAACAUCUUUGCACACCCGAUGGCAAGGGGUUGGUUUUGGAAUUUGACAGGCCUCCAGCAUCUCUACCUUGCCGGAACUAAACUAUACGGUCAAGCUCCUGAUGCACUGGCACAUAUGACAUCCCUUGAAGUCAUUGAUUUGUCAUUUAAUCGUAACAUGGGGACGAUGACUACAAGCUUCAAAAACCUAUGCAGUCUGAAAAUUCUGGACCUUUCUUGGUGUCAAAUUGUUGGAAAUAUAAAGGAUAUUAUAGGGAGGAUGCCACAGUGUCCCUUGAACAAACUGCAAGUGUUGCGUUUGGGCUACAACAAUAUCAGCGGAAACAUGCCGGAUCAGACAGCACACUUGACCACCUUAGUCGUUCUUGAUAUCUCUGUGAACAACCUAAAUGGAGGCAUACCGCACGGGGUGGGGCUUCUCUUUAGUUUAAGCAGACUUGAUCUCUCUUCCAACAAUCUCAGUGGACCUGUGCCAUCUGAGAUCGGCAUGCUCGGCAACUUGACCAUGAUGAAUCUUGAAGGCAACAACUUGACUGGUAACUUCACUGAAGAACAUUUUGCAAGUCUAACAAGGUUAAAGGAGUUGUAUUUAGAUGGGAAUUCCUUGAGGAUUACAGUUGGUCCCGAUUGGAUACCACCUUUCAGUUUAGAAGAAGCAGCUCUUGGCUCUUGCCAGCUAGGCCCUUCGUUUCCUGCAUGGCUUCAGUUCCAAGUGGACAUUCGCUGA